RNAcentral lists this non-coding RNA (21 nucleotides) under Arabidopsis thaliana (thale cress). Lineage: Eukaryota; Viridiplantae; Streptophyta; Magnoliopsida; Brassicales; Brassicaceae. The record is from RNAcentral.
UGGGCUUCGAGAAUCCGCCAC